RNAcentral lists this ribosomal RNA (497 nucleotides) under uncultured bacterium. RNAcentral describes it as "partial 16S ribosomal RNA". It matches the Rfam family "Bacterial small subunit ribosomal RNA", at positions 28 to 507 of the family's 1533-position model. The record is from RNAcentral.
GAUGAACGCUGGCGGCGUGCCUAAUACAUGCAAGUCGAGCGAACAGACGAGGAGCUUGCUCCUCUGACGUUAGCGGCGGACGGGUGAGUAACACGUGGAUAACCUACCUAUAAGACUGGGAUAACUUCGGGAAACCGGAGCUAAUACCGGAUAACAUGUUGAACCGCAUUGUUCAACAGUGAGAGACGGUCUUGCUGUCACUUAUAGAUGGAUCCGCGCCGCAUUAGCUAGUUGGUAAGGUAACGGCUUACCAAGGCAACGAUGCGUAGCCGACCUGAGAGGGUGAUCGGCCACACUGGAACUGAGACGCGGUCAAGACGCCUACGGGAGGCAGCAGUAGGGAAUCUGCCGCAAUGGGCGAAAGCCUGACGGAGCAACGCCGCGUGAGUGAUGAAGGUCUUCGGAUCGUAAAACUCUGUUAUUAGGGAAGAACAAAUGUGUAAGUAACUAUGCACGUCUUGACGGUACCUAAUCAGAAAGCCACGGCUAACUACGUG